AAUUUGGCUUGGGAUGCCUUAGGCAUCCCCAAGCUUGAGCUCUUUCCACUCCUUAUCUCUUUGUCCAUGAGAACAUCACCCAAAAGUUGAAAACUUCACAACACAAAACUUAAACAGAAACUCGUGAUAACAUUAGAACAAGAAAACAAACUACCACUUCUUUUGGUACUGUAGCAAACUUGAAUUCUAUCUAUAUUGGUGUUGGGCUACUGUAUUCUCACUUUUCCAGGGCUAGUACCCCCCGAUACUAACCAUAGUUUCAUCAAAACAAGCAACCAACUCAACAAAAAACAGAAUCUGUCAAAAACAGACUAGUCUGUAGCAAUCUGUGUACUUCGUAUACUUCUGGUACCUCAAAAAAUCUGAACAAUUACGACGGCCUAGGCAAAAGGCAUAUCAACCGGCAGCAAAAAGAAUCAACUCAAAAGCUCUUUCUGAAUAAAAAUAAAAAAAAUCAUCCCGUGAGCGAAAAGUUUGUGUCUUUUUCCAGCAGGAUCAAACAACCAUUACCAAGACUAGUCAUAAAGGUUUUGCUUGGCUCAAACACAAAAAGAAACACAACAAACACAAUCACAACAGAAUUGUGAUGGUCUGGACGCAACAAAACAGAAAGAAAAAUAUAAAUUCAUUGGGUUGCCUCCCAACAAGCGCUAUUGUUUAACGCCCUUAGCUAGACAUAAAAGUGAUAGAAUCACGUAUCGUCGUCUUUGGUGCUCAAACCAUAAGUAGCGUGAUCACUUAUC
This 743-nucleotide long non-coding RNA is filed under the name Hordeum vulgare. RNAcentral describes it as "long non-coding RNA (HVUL_LNC007134)". Lineage: Eukaryota; Viridiplantae; Streptophyta; Magnoliopsida; Poales; Poaceae. The record is from RNAcentral.